Molecule: ribosomal RNA, 383 nt
Filed under: Nitzschia sp. (in: diatoms)
Lineage: Eukaryota; Bacillariophyta; Bacillariophyceae; Bacillariales; Bacillariaceae
Description: Nitzschia sp. (in: Bacillariophyta) partial small subunit ribosomal RNA
Rfam family: Eukaryotic small subunit ribosomal RNA
Source: RNAcentral
AGCUCCAAUAGCGUAUAUUAAAGUUGUUGCAGUUAAAAAGCUCGUAGUUGGAUUUGUGGCAGUCGCCUGCGGCCCGGCAUUCGUGCCGGUGUUUGCUAGCGUCGCCAUCCUUGGGUGGAACCUGUGUGGCAUUAGGUUGUCGUGCAGGGGAUGCCCAUCGUUUACUGUGAAAAAAUUAGAGUGUUCAAAGCAGGCUUAUGCCGUUGAAUAUAUUAGCAUGGAAUAAUAAGAUAGGACCUUGGUACUAUUUUGUUGGUUUGCGCACCAAGGUAAUGAUUAAUAGGGACAGUUGGGGGUAUUCGUAUUCCAUUGUCAGAGGUGAAAUUCUUGGAUUUUUGGAAGACGAACUACUGCGAAAGCAUUUACCAAGGAUGUUUUCAUUA